Molecule: long non-coding RNA, 2349 nt
Organism: Elgaria multicarinata webbii
Lineage: Eukaryota; Metazoa; Chordata; Lepidosauria; Squamata; Anguidae
Exons: 3
Source: RefSeq, a predicted model, not a curated record
GCACCAUCGGCACCAGACCACAGUGCCCGGUUCUACCCUCCUCACCCAUUUCUCUUUCUCAUCCCUUUGUUAGAACCAUUUGGAUUAAAGCAAUCAAAACCAGGAGUCAACUGAAAGCCAAACUUUGUCAGAUGGUGACAGCCAUGUUAAAUUACUCAUGCGUCUGCCUCGUUUUGACACAUGACUAGACUGGGAGGCACGCAUACGCCCCACCCUGCCUGGCCUUAACACUGGGAAUCAGCCAGGCUGAGAGAAAAAUGCAUGAAGUGAUGGACCAUGGAGAGGUAAGGCAGGGGGGUAGGUGAGGGUUCUGUUGCCCUCAGCCAUGCUCCUCUUCUUGAAGUGAACAUUAGGUCACUUCCUCCCCCUCCACGCCCACAUGCCUAAUCUGUGAAGGGAACAGACUGGCGACUAAACAAACAUGACCACCACUGUCAAGUUUUACCCUGCAUUGGACCCAGCUGCAGCCAAUGUCAUUGACGUCGUCGUGGGUCAGAGGGUGACACAGGCGCCUGCAUCACCUAUGAAUUUUACCCACCGCCUGUGGUUAAAGAUCAAACCUAGAUGAUUGAGAUAUCCACUUCUGUGAGGUCCUCGGACAAUUCCCUCACGAGGAACGUUGGCACAAGUGGCAGCCACGGUGAAGCGCAGCAAGGCAGAUGUAUUCACAGUGAAGGACAGUUGUUAGGAUUUGUAUGGAUGCAAAAAUUCAGUCUUGAACAAAUCUAUUUUGCUUUGAUAAAAUGGCCGCUGGUCUUCCACCAAUAGGCUGACCUAAUCAUGCCCUUGGGCUCAUCUACACCAAGCAGGAUAUUCCACUAUGAAAGCGGUAUAUAAAAGGCAGGAGCCACACUACUUCUUUAUAGAUGUACUGAAGUGCACUGACAACUGUUGGGGCCCAUGACACAGACCAUAUUCCGCUUUCAUACCUCUUUUAGAGUGUUACAUCCUACUUGGUGUAGAUGUUUCCUGGGCCCCAACAGUUGUCGGUGCACUUCAGUACCACUAUAAAGCAGUAGUGUAGAUCCUGCCCUUAUAUACCACUUUCAUACCACUUUCAUAGUGGAAUACCCUGCUUGGUGUAGAUGAGCCCUUUGUCACAACCAUCACCUUUUUAUUCAGCUUUCUAGUACCUUCUUUACUACAGUGUGUAGUGUCUUUAUUGCCCCCUCUGGUAGCCUGAGAGAACGCAUCCUUGACUAUUUCUAUAUAUUACAGUCUCUGGAAAUGGUUACUACCAACAUGCAGCGCACAUGGGCGAGGGUGACAAGUUCCUGCACAAGAGUAAUAUCCAUUAUUUUUCAUUAAAAGACUGAAGACAUUCCAUGACUCAUCUCUGACCUGGUUCACAUGACACGACAUCCUACCAUGGGUAAACGUCCAUGGUGGGGUGUCAUCAGUGGAGCGUGGAGGCUCCGAUGCCAGUGGGGAGAUGAGUUUGCUCCGGCUUCCAGUCAAAACCAGUCAGGACUCUAAAGGAGCACCCCGGAUAGCUCCUUUAGAGAUCUGACUGGUUCUGACUGAAUCCCAGAGUGGAUUUACCACCCCACUGACAUCAGAGCCACCAGCCUCCACCAAUUGUUGGGACGUCUGACCCCAGCAUGGUUCCCACAGGGUGGAUCACAUUUUUAUAAAUCUUCAAAAAACAAAACAAAAUCAGUUAAAGCUGCAGGAGCCCUGCCCUCUUGACCAGAUACAAAAGCAGGCAGGUCUCCUGCAGUUUUAACUGUUCUGAUGCAGAGGGAAUUUCACCAGGUGCUGCAUGCAUACAAAGGACACCUGCUGAAAUUCCUUUUUCUAUUCUCUUUUAAAGAUGCCAGAGCCCAGUCCUCCUCUCCAAAGUAUUACAUUCUAUUUUUACAUCAGCUUUGGCAAGCAGUUAUUUUGCUCUAACAUAUAGAGAGCGUAGAAACAAUUGCACAGCAUGAAAAGGGGGCGGGAGAAAUGUUCACUGUGUGCUUCACAACUCAGGUAACACACAUGGCUAUCUAACGCCCCCACCCGGGUAAGACAACUAAGUCCAGGGUCUAAAAUCGCCCAGUUGAACCACCGCUGCAAAGGCAGUGUGACCUCUGGCUAGGGGGCAAUUUCCAGGCACACAGCAGGAGGGUAAUGAGUCAUAAACAGCCUUAUUGCUUUCCCCUCUUCUACUCCCAAAGAAGUAGCUUGAGGGCCAAAUCCCAUUUCAGGGGAGCUCUUGGAGGCUGCAGACAAAAGGGAUGGAGCCAGCAUACCAAAGAGGCCAACAUAUUUUAGCUUAAAGUUCUUGCAGCAGUGAUUAAACUUUGGGAGGGGGACAUCAAACUUUAGAAUGGGGGGAAACAUUGCAAAAUCUGGGAAAGGGUGUAA